CACAUGACUCUCGGCAACGGAUAUCUCGGCUCUCGCAUCGAUGAAGAASGUAGCAAAAUGCGAUACCUGGUGUGAAUUGCAGAAUCCCGCGAACCAUCGAGUUUUUGAACGCAAGUUGCGCCCGAGGCCUUCUGGUCGAGGGCACGUCUGCCUGGGCGUCACG
Molecule: ribosomal RNA, 163 nt
Filed under: Eragrostis x pseudo-obtusa
Lineage: Eukaryota; Viridiplantae; Streptophyta; Magnoliopsida; Poales; Poaceae
Description: 5.8S ribosomal RNA
Rfam family: 5.8S ribosomal RNA
About the family: 5.8S ribosomal RNA (5.8S rRNA) is a component of the large subunit of the eukaryotic ribosome. It is transcribed by RNA polymerase I as part of the 45S precursor that also contains 18S and 28S rRNA.
Source: RNAcentral